UCAUUUUAAAUUACUCAUAUUUUAUAUUUAUUGUUAAUUGUAAUUUAUAUUAUAAUUAUAUAUUCAUGUAUACAAUAUUAAUCUUAUAAUAUAUGGUUUGUUAUCAUAAGUUACUGUCAUUUUCUUUUCUUUUAUAAAAUUUGAUUUAAUUUGGCAAAUCAUACAACCACAAGACAAUAAGUAGUUAUAGGGAUAUUUUAAUGGUUUAAUCACUAAUAAGCUUAAUAUCGGUAGAGGUAGGUCUACUAUCUAUAACUUUUAUAGUUGCUUACUAUGUAAUAAAAUAAAAACAAUUCAAUUGCGAUUCUAGUGUAGUAGUGUGAGAGUGUUAACUUAAAAUAAGUAUUUCAUGGCUAUUAUAGUUUUUUGUUUUAUAUAACUGGUGGGUCCAUAAUAUAAUUACAAAGUACAAACACCGUUAAAUUUCAACAACUUGUAAAAUAAAUACAUAAAAUAUGUAAAAUUAAUAACGAAAACGUAUUUGUUUUUAUCACGUUUUUGUAAUAAUUAAUCGAAUAUUACAAUUUCGGUAAAUUUAUUUAAUAAUUUAAUUUAUAUAGUUCUAUACAAUGCAAAUAAAAGAAAAUGGAUAUCCAAAAGCAGUCUGGUAUAUAUUCGGAAACGAACUUUGUGAACGGUUUAGUUAUCAUGGUCUUAAAACUAUUUUGGUUUUAUUUUUUACAACAAUUCAAAAAUAUGACCACGAUACUUCCACGAUUAUAUUUCAUAUGUUUUUGAUCUGUUCAUUCAUAUCGCCAUUGUUUGGAGCCAUCAUUGCAGAUUCAUACUGGGGAAAAUAUAAGACUAUUUUCAUCUUGUCUAUUGUACAUGCAAUGGGAAAUAUCUUAGUGGCUAUUGCAUCUCUUGUGACUUCAGUCAGUAUAGAUUUUCAGAGAUCAUUUACAAUAAUUGGAUUAUUGUUAACAUCGAUCGGAGCAGGUGGUAUAAAACCGUGCGUCUCUGCUUUUGGAGGUGAUCAAUUUGUGCUGCCAGAUCAAGAACAUCAGUUGCAAAUGUUUUUUUCGAUAUUUUACUUUACUAUCAAUUUAGGGUCAUUGUUAUCGUCGUCCAUUACACCGGAACUGAGGAAAUCGGUUCAAUGUUUUGGCAAGGAUUCAUGUUUUCCAUUAGCAUUUGGGGUGCCUGCUAUUCUUAUGGUGAUUUCAAUGGUAUUCUUUAUAUGUGGCAAAAAUCUGUACAAGAUCAUUAAACCUAAGUCCAGUAUCAUUACAACUUCAAUUGGAUGCAUAUGUCACGCAUUGAAAAAAAAAAUAACCACUUCUUCAAAUGAAGGGAAAAGGAAAUAUUGGUUGGAAUAUGCUGAUGAUAAGUACAGUACACAACAAAUAUCUGAGUUGAGGUCAGCAUUAGCCGUUAUGUAUUUGUUUAUUCCAGUCCCAAUGUUUUAUGCACUUUUUGAUCAACAAGGUUCUCGAUGGAUUUUACAAGGAACUCUAAUGAAUGGCAAGAUAGAUUUUUUAAAUUGGUCUAUAAAGCCUGACCAAAUGCAUUUAAUUAACCCCUUGUUCGUUUUAAUAUUUAUACCACUUUUUAAUGCCAUAGUCUAUCCACUUUUGCAUAAAAUUGGUAUAAAUACACCUUUAAAAAAAGUCACUCUAGGGGGCCUUAUUGCUGCAUCGUCGUUUGUGUGUGCUGCAGUUGUUCAAUACACAAUAAUUGGUCAAACUUUUACAAUAUCAUCAAAUGAAGGCCAAUUAAGAAUAUACAAUAAUUUUGAUUGUAAUGUAUCCGUAUCCAGUUCUUUGGUUGGAAACUUCAAUAUUGAACAGUUAGAUGUAGUUCAUAUUAACUAUAAUUCAACUGUAUUUAAUGAGACUGAUGUUUUAUCUAUAGACUUGCAUCCAAUGUGUGAAUUAAAAAUGAAUACUCUGAAACAACAUGUUUUCAUCAAUAAAGGAAAGGUUUCAUCAUAUUUUUUAACAUCUAAAAUUGAUAAUGAAAUUGAAUUAAAACAAUUGAACGAAUUGAAGAAAUUAAAGAGUGGAAAUUCAAAUCUUAGGAUUUUGCAUGAUAAUUUCUUCAGUCAAAGGAUUACAUUAAAGAAUACUAAUAAUAAAUUAUCUGAAAUAAGCUUUUCACUUUCAACAAAUCAAGAUCAAAGUUACGAAUUACCUGUCGGGACUUACGACUUAUACAUGGACAAUGAACCGAUAUUGCAAAAUGUUGAUUUUCUUCCUGUUAGUAUUAAUGAUCUGUUAUUUCACCAUGAUUUUAAUCAAACGAAAGCCAAGUUAAUUACUUUGGAAAAGGGUAAAUAUAUUCAUAUUCUAUGGCAAGCUCCGCAAAUCAUUUUAAUUACAGUAGCUGAAGUAAUGUUUGUGGUUACAUUAUUGGAAUUCUCAUUCACUCAAGCUCCAUUAAGUAUGAAAUCAUUUCUUACAGCAGCCAAUUUAUGUACAACGGCAUUUGGUAAUUUACUUAUAGUUUUUAUUUCGAAAAUGGGACAAUUUGAAAAUCAAGGCCAUGAAUUCCUAUUUUAUGCUGUUUUGAUGGUUUUGGAUAUGAUAAUAUUUAUGCUGAUGAGCACCAAAUACAAAUAUAAAUGUAUAAUUAGUAAUACCCAAUGAACAGAAUAAACAACAAUCUCUAAAUGUACUUCAUUUAACAUAAUGAGACGUAAUUUUUCUAUUAAAUUUAUAGUUUUCAUGACAUUGACAUAUCAACAUAUUUUACUAAGUAUAUAUACAAGGUAUAUGUAAUGUAGAUUUAAAACAUGAAUAAAUCUGAUAAAUCUUAAAGACUAAUAUAAUUUUAGUUUACUAAUGGCAGUCGGCAAAUGAGGAUUAAAACAACUGUAUUAUUACAAGAACCUAUGUUUUUUUUUUUUAACAAAUUGGAAAACAAAUUUUUAUUUGUAUACCUACAUUAAUAGGUAAUUAUUAUAACUAAUACAUUUCAUGUUCAAUAUACAAUCUUAAUAUUUUCUAGGUUUCAUUAAUUUUUAUUUUAUAAAAAAUAAAACGAUUUAUAAAGUCAACAUACCAGUA
RNA transcript from Rhopalosiphum padi (bird cherry-oat aphid), 3008 nucleotides. It is a transcript of the gene named peptide transporter family 1-like, with no coding region annotated. The record is from RefSeq and is a predicted model, not a curated record. The transcript is spliced from 17 exons. NCBI's taxonomy places the organism in Eukaryota, Metazoa, Arthropoda, Insecta, Hemiptera, Aphididae.